This 121-nucleotide ribosomal RNA is filed under the name Prolemur simus (greater bamboo lemur). The record is from RNAcentral. Lineage: Eukaryota; Metazoa; Chordata; Mammalia; Primates; Lemuridae.
GUCUAUGGCUAUACCAGCCUGAACACGCCUGAUCUCCUCUGAUCUCAGAAGCUAAGCAGGCUCGGGCCUGGUUAGUACUUGGAUAGGAGAGUAAUGACAAGGAGAAAUGUCUUUACAGACA